RNAcentral lists this ribosomal RNA (429 nucleotides) under unidentified bacterium TMB809. RNAcentral's name for it is "bacterial SSU rRNA". It matches the Rfam family "Bacterial small subunit ribosomal RNA", at positions 21 to 496 of the family's 1533-position model. The record is from RNAcentral.
UGCUCAGAACGAACGCUGGCGGCAGGCUUAACACAUGCAAGUCGAACGCAUCCUUCGGGGUGAGUGGCAGACGGGUGAGUAACGCGUGGGAACGUGCCCUUCAGUUCGGGAUAACCCAGGGAAACUUGGGCUAAUACCGGAUACGUGCGAGAGCAGAAAGAUUUAUCGCUGAAGGAUCGGCCCGCGUCUGAUUAGCUAGUUGGUAGGGUAAUGGCCUACCAAGGCGACGAUCAGUAGCUGGUCUGAGAGGAUGAUCAGCCACAUUGGGACUGAGACACGGCCCAAACUCCUACGGGAGGCAGCAGUGGGGAAUAUUGGACAAUGGGCGCAAGCCUGAUCCAGCCAUGCCGCGUGAGUGAUGAAGGCCUUAGGGUUGUAAAGCUCUUUCGUCCGGGACGAUAAUGACGGUACCGGAAGAAGAAGCCCCGG